Molecule: long non-coding RNA, 478 nt
Filed under: Ananas comosus (pineapple)
Lineage: Eukaryota; Viridiplantae; Streptophyta; Magnoliopsida; Poales; Bromeliaceae
Description: long non-coding RNA (ACOM_LNC009770)
Source: RNAcentral
CAAUCUAUUAUUGAGACAUAUUUUGAGCAAAAAUUCCUCACUUAGGGGCCGUUUGGUUGGAUAUAGCUACAAAAGCAGUAUAAUUGAAAGUAUAUGCAGUUGCAAAUACUGCAGUCAUAACUACACAUAAUCUAUUUGAUUUUAUACAGUUACAACUGCUACAAUUACAUUUCUUCAGUUUGGUAGUCUAUAGUUGAAAUUUGUAUUUGUAAAUUCUGUCAAUUUUUAGACCUCUUCUAAACAUAAUGUACUGUUCUAAUUAUUAAUUAAGACUUUUAUAUCAAUGUAUAAUUUAUAUAUUAUAAAAUUAUAUAUAAAUUUAAUGAAUUUUAAAUAAAAUAUAUUAUAGAUUUGGUCAAAACAACAAUUAAGACAUUAUAAAACUAGCAGACUAGAAAAAAAGAAGCGUAUGAAAAAAAUUUAUUGAUCCUAACAGAUAUUAUUAAUUCUUAGCAUAUUACAUGAAUAGGUAUUCUUG